RNA transcript from Triticum aestivum (bread wheat), 1760 nucleotides. RefSeq lists it as uncharacterized. The transcript is spliced from 5 exons. The record is from RefSeq and is a predicted model, not a curated record. Lineage: Eukaryota; Viridiplantae; Streptophyta; Magnoliopsida; Poales; Poaceae.
AACUAAUCAUGUUCAGGUUUUUUAGGCACUGUAUGUUAUCCCUAACCAAUUGCAGAGGUUGCAGUACAAACAUGUAGGAUACAGAUGCAUUCUAUAGUGUUCUUCAUGAUGGCUGUACUGACGGAUAUGAUUGCCCUUGUCUAAAUACUAAGAUCCAACUUUACAUGCAGUCGUACCCAUGCCAAUUUGUUGGAGCAGAGAUCAUCUGACUUAACUGAGUCUAAGUCAGAGGGAUGUCCAUCCAUGCCGCAUCGGACGACAAUGAAAUCUAGAGAGGCUCUAUGGCUCAGGUCGCCACGAAACCAGUGGCCCAUCCGGCUCCUUGUGACACAAGUGAAGGAAACAACAUGCAAGGUGUACAGAAACAGCGUGGGAUCGACCAGAACGAUACCGCCUGGGCCGGAUGGUACGCGUUGCUCUGCUCGUGACCUCAUAAGAAGCAACUGAGAUGGAAUUAUGGAAGAAGAGGCUAACACCACACACAUCCAGAUUCCAGUAAGUACAUAUAUAUUAUUAUUCCAAGUACAUUCACUUUGGCACAAGUUCAAUAUUUUGUCAUCCAGAGCAACAAUUCAAGUUUUGUGCUAUUCAGUCGUGUUAAUUCUGGAUAUUUUUGGAUUUGGUUAUGUUCUGGGUUCCAUUAGUUCAAUUAUGGGCAAUAGUGGCCAUUUAGUUCCGUUCAAGUUCAGUUCUGGGUGCCAGCAAUAGUUGUCAUUUAAUUUAGUUCAAGUUUAGUUUUCGCUGCCAUUUAGUUCAAUUCAGUUAGGAGCAACAAUUGACAUUCAGUUCAUUUCAGAAUUCUGCAUAUGUACUUCUGUCCAAUUCUGCACUUACACAAAGCUUACUGGAACACUCAUUUACUCAUAACAUUCAAGCAAACACUGAAAAUUUUUACCAUUAAUUUUGUUUUUACAGAUGUACAAGUAGCAACUGCAAUUCCUAUUCAGUCGUAACAAUAAUAUUUAGUGAUCUCAAUUUUCAUGCCAUGCUGAAUUAAAUUCAGCUAACAUCAGCGAUUUAGUUGGACGCUUCCUGCACUUUCAACUUUAUAAAAUGAUUGUUUGCGAUCAGCAACUCAUUAGACGGCGGUGGCAGUGGCGUGAUUGGCCCACUUGAACACAAACCACAGGACGUCAACAACACAGGGCCUAUGGAACCUUGUCCUCUGGUCCAACCAUUGCUUCUCCUCGUGACACCUGUGGUCUACGGUGACAGGGCCUUGGCUGGCGGCUAAUGCCACGAGGCCUCGGAGCCGGACUUGUGCUCCUCCUCUUGGGAAGUCGUCGCCAGUGCGGUGGCCCUGAAGCCGGUUGGACGCGUCUUGUGUGCGCUAGGGCAGUGGCAUCGCAGAGGAUGAAACCAACACUGGUUGAGAGCGGCCUCGAUGGUGUGGUGUAGCUGACCACGACCGUGGGGAUGGGCGUGCCGGACGCGUGAAUGGAAACGGUGAGUCCAUGCCGGACCCUCCUUUGGUGAGCGAACAACGACGACAAGUGUAGGGGAACUCAAGAAAGGAGGGUUUUUUCAGAGCUGGAGCGCCACUUUCCCUCUCCCUUCCAUUGGACUGGGUUGCAUCAUGCUUUUGGGCCGAUCCUGCUCUGUGUUUCCACGGGCUCCACCUGCUGUCGUGGAUGCGCAAAGAAUGGGAUACACACAUCCAACAAAUUUCGCUAGGCGCUUGGUACUACAACUUCUACAUCUCGACGACUUUGGACAAUAAAGCGACGAUGCUCUACCUGGGUGUGGUCUAACUCUACCUC